This 926-nucleotide long non-coding RNA is filed under the name Rattus norvegicus (Norway rat). RNAcentral's name for it is "long non-coding RNA NONRATT016594". The record is from RNAcentral. Lineage: Eukaryota; Metazoa; Chordata; Mammalia; Rodentia; Muridae.
UACAGACAGACAGAGUCCCUUCCCCUUCUUAACCUUCACCUUUCUUGACUUCCCCUUCCAUAGUCAGACCCCUUCCCCACCAGGUUAGGCCCCCCUUGGGACCCCCCUGGCCCCUCUUUUGUCUUCUGUGAAGACAGGACCUAUGCAACGCACAGACACUUUUGGAGACCGUAACAACAACGCCCCCUCCCUUCCAGCCCUGAGCCUGGAACCAACUCCCAGGACCUUGCCCUGCCCACCCUCUGGUCCCCACCCAUCCUGGGCCUUUUUCAAGUGCUUUGGCUGUGACUUUCAUACUCUGCUCUUAGUCUAAAAAAAAAAAAAAUAAACUGGAGAUAAAAAUAACUGAGUGUGUGUGGUUUCAAGGGGCUAUGUCCCUCUGUUUCACUGGCUGAACCCUGUAGGGCUCAGGUCCUGGGCGAGCAGGCAUUCUAGGUUAGAGUCCAUGGAGUGCUGGCUCUGGGGUCCAGUUCUGUGUGGAGAGAGGGACAGAGCUUCAAGUUGAGCCUGGGUGAUUUGGGGCAGGUUCCUUUACCUUUCUAGGCUCAGGCUUCCCGCAGGGAGAGCGGUGUGAGUACCCAUUUCCCAGAGUUAAGGCUCAGACUGGUGUGCUCUAUGCUGUAGUCAGAAGCUUUUGGCUGGGUCCAAGGAUUUCAGGGGAUUUGUGAACCUAGAUAGGAAAAAAAAAGUUACAUCGUUAUUUUCACUCACCUGUGACAAAUUUAACAUUCCCUAUGUACUUGGGCAACCGGCCACAAUAGCAUUAACAGUAUGUGUGACUUUGUAGCCAACGGAAAUCCCAGAUGUUUUCAAACCUGCUUUAUAUCUCAGAAUAUCACUUAUGUGUCACUACUUUGAAAUGAUCAUAGUUGUUAGACUUUACUUGUUUUUAACAUGUUAAUAAAGAAACAUAUAUAUUACAUACC